UGAGCAAUCUGCCCUUCUCAAUCGGAAAUAAGCGUUGGAAACGACGUCUAAUGCCGAAUACGACCUCCUUUCGCAUGAUCGGAGGUGGAAAGCUCCGGCGGAGAAGGAUGAGCUCGCGGCCUAUCAGCUAGUUGGUGUGGGUAAUGGCCCACAAGGCGACGACGGGUAGCCGGCCUGGAGAGGGUGACCGGCCACACUGGGACUGAGACACGGCCCAGACCUCCGUACGGGAGCA
RNAcentral lists this ribosomal RNA (235 nucleotides) under uncultured bacterium. RNAcentral describes it as "partial 16S ribosomal RNA". It matches the Rfam family "Bacterial small subunit ribosomal RNA", at positions 118 to 347 of the family's 1533-position model. The record is from RNAcentral.